AAAAUUGUCUGAUUCCGUCAGUGCAGCAAUAUCUAACAUGUAAACUAACAAUUCCACAGCAACUACCUAACAGACACAUAUCUAAGGAAAGGAAUGGAAUAAGAAUAUGCACAUGUCAAUAUAUGGUUGAGAUUUGAAAUAAUACAUAAAAAACAUAAUACUGCAAGGUUCCUUAAGGACUAGAAGUGAGGCAGCCCUCUCUGUCGGCGCCAUCUUUUGGUAAACAUUUCAGGCAUUAUCCUUGCUCUUUCCUCAUCUGAGAGUGACUACUGUAGGCUGGUUUGUACACUCCUCUCUGUAUUUAUUUGGAAAGUGAAGCAAAAAUGAGUACAUUUGUCUCUAUACUCCAGGAUGUUUUAUUUGAGAUCAAAUGUUUCAUACUGUAUGAGGUGACAGUACAGUGUCUGUUUUACCGUUUAGAAAUAAAAUCACUUUAUGUAUCUAGUCCCCCAUUUGAAUGUGAAUUUUUCUUCAUAAGUAUUUGGACAAAUUCACUUAUAGUGUAUUAAAGUAGUCAAACGUUUUAGUAUUUGGUAGUGGACUAAACUCCAUGGUGAAGGAAGUUGAUGAUGAACUUCAACAACGGCGUGGAGCCGAGACCAGGCUUUGUGGAAUCUAGCUCCGAUUACAUCGAUUCGCCCAAGGUCAAUACUUAUAAAAAAUAAUCAUAUGAAACGCCCACAUUGUACCUCUGUAGUUGCGUGCCUUUCUUUGUUUGCUAAAAUCCAUAUAUUUUCAAUAAACGUUAAUCAAAUAACACCAACAAAUGUUUCUUGGUUUAGAUUCAAUUGGCACAUGCGCAUUUGCGCUGAGUUGCCAUCUUAGAGCAACAGCAAUGAGCAAACAGUCAGCGGUUGUAUUUGAUUCAUGUUUAUUGAGAAAGUAUGAAUUUGAUCAAACAAAGAAAGGCACACAGAUACAGAGGACAAUCAUAAGUACAAGGUAGGAGUUUCAUCAUUUAAAACAUUUUAUGUGUAGGAGAUAGAUAGUGGCACAGCGGUCUAAGGCACUGCAUCUCAGUGCAAGAGGCGUCACUACAGUUUCUGGUUCGAAUCCAGGCUGUAUAACAUCCGGCCGUGAUUGGGAAUCCCAUAGGGUAGCACACAAUUGGCCCAGCGUUGUCCGGGUUUGACCGGGGUAGGCUGUCAUUGUAAAUAAGAAUUUGUUCUUAACUGACUUGCCUGGUUAAAUUUAAAAAAUGUAAUAUAUAAAUAAAUAGAUUCCACAAAGCCUGGUCUCGGCUCCAUGCCGUUAGUGAAGUUCCUCAUUAAACUUCCUUCACCAUGGAGUUUAGUCCGCUAAGUAUUUGGUCCCAUAUUCCUAGAACGCAAUGACUACAUCAAACUUGUGACUCUACAAACUUGUUAUAUGAAUUUGCAGUUUGUUUUGGUUGUGUUUCGGCUUAUGUUGGAACCAAUAGGAACUGAAUGGUGAAUAUUGUAUUGUGUCAUUUUGGAGUCAAUUUUAUUGUAAAUAAGAAUAAAAGAUGUUUCUGAAUGCUACCAUGAUUAUUAAUCAUGAAUGAAUUGUGAAUAAUGAUGAGUGAUAAAGUUACAGAGGAACAAUGAUCAUAUCCAUCAUUAUUAUUCAGAAUUCCUUCAUGAUUAUUGAUAAUUAUGGUAGCAUCCACAUUAAUGUAGAAGUGUCCAGAAACAUCUUCUAUUCUUAUUGACAAUUAAAGUGUCUCCAAAAUAACACAAUACAUUAUUCACCAUUCAGUUCCUAUUGGCAAAGCGUAAUCCGAAACUCAUCCAAAACAAACUGCAAAUGCAUCCAACAAGUUUGAUGUAGUCAUUUUGUGCUAGAAAUAUGGGAUCAAAUACAAAACUUUUGACUACUGUAAUGAAAUAUGUGAAUUUGUCCAAAUAGUUCUUCAAAUAGCGGGACUAGAUCCAUAAAGUGCUUUCAUUUCUAAACAGUAAAACAGAUAUGUAUGAAAAUAACCUGAACUUUAAGGUGACAUUCUGUACUAUCACCUCAUAUGAAACCAGUAUAGAGCCUCACUGUCCAAAUAAUUACAGAGGGGAGUGUCACACACACAGAGGGGAGUUCUACACCCCCUAGUGGACAUCCGGUGUCUCCUUGACCUGCAGCCAUUCUCCCAGUUCUCUCCCUCUCCCUCUGUGUGUGUGAUUGUGUAGUAUGAGACAGGUGUGCUGGAGUCAGAGACGUUCCCCACCAGCUGCAACCCAUUCCAUAAUCAAGACCUCUACAAAUACUCUGUCCUGCCACUUCCACUCUGCCAGAUCCUAAUCUCCAUUCAUUUUGCCGCUCUGACUCUGGUUCCUGUCUUCUGUUCCACAUCUCACCACCCUGCUACCCUGUUCUGGAAUCAACUCAUCAACACUCCCUUGAACCUGUUUACCCUGUCCCAACCCCAGCUCACUCCAACCUCAGCCUCCACAUCUGGUUUCCUACAACUCAUCCAAGCUUCCCUGGAUCUGCACUUCAUCUCUCCCUGUGUUACAAUAAAUAUAUUGGUUCAUCCCUG
Long non-coding RNA from Oncorhynchus nerka (sockeye salmon), 2491 nucleotides. RefSeq lists it as uncharacterized. The transcript is spliced from 2 exons. The record is from RefSeq and is a predicted model, not a curated record. Lineage: Eukaryota; Metazoa; Chordata; Actinopteri; Salmoniformes; Salmonidae.